This 223-nucleotide ribosomal RNA is filed under the name uncultured bacterium. RNAcentral's name for it is "partial 16S ribosomal RNA". It matches the Rfam family "Bacterial small subunit ribosomal RNA", at positions 524 to 776 of the family's 1533-position model. The record is from RNAcentral.
UACGUAAAAGACUAGUGUUAUUCAUCUUUAGUAGGUUUAAAGGGUACCUAGACGGUAUAAUUAGUCUUAAACAAGAAACGGUUAUGCUAGAGUUAUAUAUGAGAAGGGGAGUAUUUAUGGAGUAGAGUUGAAAUUCUUUGAUCCCAUAACGACUGGUAGACGGCGAAAGCAACCUUUUAUCUAAUAACUGACGUUGAGGACGAAGGCUCGGGUCACGAACAGG